AUUGAACGCUGGCGGAAUGCUUUACACAUGCAAGUCGAACGGCAGCACGGACUUCGGUCUGGUGGCGAGUGGCGAACGGGUGAGUAAUGUAUCGGAACGUGCCCAGUCGUGGGGGAUAACGUAGCGAAAGUUACGCUAAUACCGCAUACGAUCUACGGAUGUAAGCGGGGGACCGUAAGGCCUCGCGCGAUUGGAGCGGCCGAUGUCAGAUUAGGUAGGUGGUGAGGUAAAGGCUCACCAAGCCGACGAUCUGUAGCUGGUCUGAGAGGACGACCGGCCAGAGUGGGACUGAGACACGGUCCAGACUCCUACGGGAGGCAGCAGUGGGGAAUUUGGGACAAUGGGCGAAAGCCUGAUCCAGCCAUUCCGCGUGCAGGAUGAAGGCCCUCGGGUUGUAAACUGCUUUUGUACAGAACGAAAAGGUUUCUACUAAUACUAGGAGCUCAUGACGGUACUGUAAGAAUAAGCACCGGCUAACUACGUGCCAGCCGCCGCGGUAA
This 500-nucleotide ribosomal RNA is filed under the name uncultured bacterium. RNAcentral describes it as "partial 16S ribosomal RNA". It matches the Rfam family "Bacterial small subunit ribosomal RNA", at positions 30 to 523 of the family's 1533-position model. The record is from RNAcentral.